Long non-coding RNA from Leptonychotes weddellii (Weddell seal), 174 nucleotides. RefSeq lists it as uncharacterized. The record is from RefSeq and is a predicted model, not a curated record. Lineage: Eukaryota; Metazoa; Chordata; Mammalia; Carnivora; Phocidae.
CUUCCGUUCCUCACUCCAACACAAGAAAGAGGCAGUGACUUCUAAAGAAACAUUGCACGGUAGAGCAAGAUGACAAGAAAAUCAAGCAUCAGAGAAAUUGAGGAAUCUGUCUGAGGCCACUCAGCUCUAACUACCUGUGCGACCCUUGGAAAGCAGCUCCGCCUCUGUGAGUCA